This 200-nucleotide unclassified non-coding RNA is filed under the name Leucosporidiales sp. RNAcentral's name for it is "partial internal transcribed spacer 2". Lineage: Eukaryota; Fungi; Basidiomycota; Microbotryomycetes; Leucosporidiales. The record is from RNAcentral.
UUAAGUUCAGCGGGUAAUCCUGCCUGAUCUGAGGUCUAAUCUAAAAUUGACUAUAGAGGUUGGAAGCGUCUACAAUUAUCUUAUUCGGCCACUAAUAAAAGUGUCCUCAGCGAAUAGUCUAUUACACUGAGUCAAUCCGAAUUCGAAUUAGAGAUGCUAAUAUAUUACGAACGAGCUACGUCAAAAGACCAGCAACAUUC